Molecule: ribosomal RNA, 292 nt
Filed under: uncultured bacterium
Lineage: Bacteria
Description: partial 16S ribosomal RNA
Rfam family: Bacterial small subunit ribosomal RNA
Source: RNAcentral
GUGGAUUAGAUACCCUGGUAGUCCUAGCCGUAAACGGUGCACGUUUGCUGUAAAAGGAAUCGACCCCUUUUGUGGCGUAGCCAACGCGUUAAACGUGCCGCCUGGGAAGUACGGUCGCAAGAUUAAAACUCAAAGAAAUUGACGGGGGCCUGCACAAGCGGUGGAGUAUGUGGCUCAAUUCGAUGCAACGCGAAGAACCUUACCUGGCCUUGACAUGCAUAUAGUAGAAGGGUGAAAGCCUGACGAGGUAGCAAUACCAGUAUGCACAGGUGCUGCACGGCCGUCGACAACU